UUUUUCUUCUGGUUCCUUGGACUUAUUCUACUCUCUAUAGAUUUGCUUGAAAGCACUAAAAAAAUAUUCAUGCUCUUACUGUAAAGCCAUCAAGAGUGAAGAGAUAUGCAGAUUGUAUCUAAACAUCUGGACAAGAGACAUAAAAUCCAAUAAGUGUGCAGCCAGGAUCUCUAUUACAUCAUAAUCUCAUAGUCACCAUGCUCUGCAGAGCAGGCUGUUAUCUACAAGUGGGGCUGUAAUGUUGUCAAUCACCUCCCAUGCUUUAAGAAGCACUGGAGCUUCCUCCUUUCCCUGAAAUACUGAAACCAGGUGUAUAAGGAGAAAUCAAACAGAUCUGUGUUGUGUUAGUAAUGAGGAAAUUAUUAUGAUAUGGACACUAUACCAGGGUUGAGGGUGAAGAAGUUUCAUCAGUGAGAAUGGUUUACUUAUGCAGGGUGCUCAAAGGACAGCACAGAACAAGUUUUCAGACAAGAAUCGUGCCUCAGGUGAAGCUAUUUGCAAAUUCAAAUUCCUUCCCUGGUAACAGAGUAGCAGCCAUAGUGCAGAA
This 547-nucleotide long non-coding RNA is filed under the name Cyanistes caeruleus (blue tit). Its description in RNAcentral is "lncRNA (ENSCCEG00000009524.1)". The record is from RNAcentral. Lineage: Eukaryota; Metazoa; Chordata; Aves; Passeriformes; Paridae.